This 332-nucleotide ribosomal RNA is filed under the name uncultured bacterium. RNAcentral describes it as "partial 16S ribosomal RNA". It matches the Rfam family "Bacterial small subunit ribosomal RNA", at positions 338 to 667 of the family's 1533-position model. The record is from RNAcentral.
CCUACGGGAGGCAGCAGUGAGGAAUAUUGGUCAAUGGGCUUACGCCUGACCCAGCCAAGUCGCGUGAGGGAAGACUGCCCUAUGGGUUGUAAACCUCUUUUGUCAGGGAGCAACGCCGGCUACGUGUAGCCGGACUGAGAGUACCUGAAGAAAAAGCAUCGGCUAACUCCGGGCCAGCAGCCUCGGUACUACGUUGGAUGCGAGCGGUAUCCGGAUUUAUUGUGUUUAAGGGGAGCGUAGGCGGAAUGCCAAGUCAGAGGUAAAAGCGCGGGGCUCAACCUCGCUCCGCCAUUGAAACUGGCGUUCUUGAGUGGGCGAGAAGUAUGCGGAAU